AUUAUUUACUAUAUUUAAAAAAUUUUCUAGAAUUUCAUAAAUAAAUAUAAAAAACAAAACAAAAACAUUUAUAUGUAUAGUUUUUAAUAGAUAUUUUAUAAACCUAACAACAAUGAAAAAUUUAAAAACCAUUUAUUUUACUUUUCUACUAUUUACAAGCUUAAUAAUAUAUUUUCAGAAUUUCUCGUUUGUAAACAGUUCAAAAAAUGAUAAUAAUAAUACGAAGGUAAAUUGUAAGAAGGAAACACCUAAAUGCGAUAAUAAUGCUUUAAAGAAAAUAAUUAAAAUAGAGAGUAAAGUAGUAAAAAAAUAUAUAAAUGACGCAGGUAAAGGAGAAAUUAAUCUAAACAUUAAUGCGAUACAGGAUAAAAUUAUGGAAAUAAUAAAUAAGAAAAAAAUAACAUAUGAACAGUAUAAAAUAGAUUCUAUGGCAAACAGAAUAUAUCAACGUUUAAAAGAUUUAAAUAUAAAUAAUAAAAAUUUUCAUUCUGUAUAUUCUAUUUAUAAACUAGAAAACUGCAUAACUAAGAAAUUAAUAAAAACCAUACAAUCUUGUCCUUUUUCAAAAAAUGUUAAUGCUAAAAACUACUUUAAAAGUUUAAGACAUCAAAUUAUUGCAGAUAAUAAUGCUUCCACAUUAUUAAAUAAAAAUUUAAUUACUAAGAUGACAUGGAGAGUGAUUCAGCGCACUGGUGACACUAUUUUUUGUGAUUCUUCUUCUUAUAUUGACUUAGUAAAAUUUUGUGAAGCAGCGGAUAAUGAACAAUGUGUUAUUGAAAAUCAAGAUAGACAUGAUAAUUUAAAUAAUAUUAAACGAAAAAAUUUUAAAGAAGUUGAAAAGGAAGAUUAAAAACAAAGUUGAUAUGGGUUUAUUAUAAUGAUGUAUAUGUUAUAAAUUUAUUUUCAAUGUUUUAAUUACGUAAUUCGAUUAGUAAUAUUAAUUAAUUAUAUAUACAUAUAUGAACAUUGAUAUUGCAUGUACACUUAUUAACAUAUUUUUACAUUUUUGUAGUUAAGAAGGUAUAUACACAUUUUAUAUAUGUUGCAGUGUUAAUGAGCACAUAUAUAGGUA
Molecule: long non-coding RNA, 1072 nt
Filed under: Piliocolobus tephrosceles (Ugandan red Colobus)
Lineage: Eukaryota; Metazoa; Chordata; Mammalia; Primates; Cercopithecidae
Description: lncRNA (ENSPTEG00000019010.1)
Source: RNAcentral